AGAGUUUGAUCAUGGCUCAGGACGAACGCUGGCGGCGUGCCUAAUACAUGCAAGUCGAGCGAAUCGACGGGAGCUUGCUCCCUGAGAUUAGCGGCGGACGGGUGAGUAACACGUGGGCAACCUGCCUAUAAGACUGGGAUAACUUCGGGAAACCGGAGCUAAUACCGGAUACGUUCUUUUCUCGCAUGAGAGAAGAUGGAAAGACGGUUUACGCUGUCACUUAUAGAUGGGCCCGCGGCGCAUUAGCUAGUUGGUGAGGUAAUGGCUCACCAAGGCGACGAUGCGUAGCCGACCUGAGAGGGUGAUCGGCCACACUGGGACUGAGACACGGCCCAGACUCCUACGGGAGGCAGCAGUAGGGAAUCUUCCGCAAUUGACGAAAGUCUGACGGAGCAACGCCGCGUGAACGAAGAAGGCCUUCGGGUCGUAAAGUUCUGUUGUUAGGGAAGAACAAGUACCAGAGUAACUGCUGGUACCUUGACGGUACCUAACCAGAAAGCCACGGCUAACUACGUGCCAGCAGCCGCGGUAAUACGUAGGUGGCAAGCGUUGUCCGGAAUUAUUGGGCGUAAAGCGCGCGCAGGUGGUUCCUUAAGUCUGAUGUGAAAGCCCACGGCUCAACUG
Molecule: ribosomal RNA, 624 nt
Filed under: uncultured marine bacterium
Lineage: Bacteria
Description: bacterial SSU rRNA
Rfam family: Bacterial small subunit ribosomal RNA
Source: RNAcentral